AUACGGGGGGUGCAAGCGUUAAUCGGAAUUACUGGGCGUAAAGCGCGCGUAGUCGGUUGGACAAGUUGGAUGUGAAAGCCCCGGGCUCAACCUGGGAAUGGCAUCCAAAACUGUCCGACUAGAGUUCGGUAGAGGGGAGUGGAAUUCCACAUGUAGCGGUGAAAUGCGUAGAUAUGUGGAGGAACACCAGUGGCGAAGCCGGCUCCCUGGAUCGAAACUGACGCUGAGGUGCGAAAGCGUGGGUAGCAAACAGGAUUAGAAACCCCAGUAGUCC
RNAcentral lists this ribosomal RNA (274 nucleotides) under uncultured bacterium. Its description in RNAcentral is "partial 16S ribosomal RNA". It matches the Rfam family "Bacterial small subunit ribosomal RNA", at positions 523 to 796 of the family's 1533-position model. The record is from RNAcentral.